Molecule: ribosomal RNA, 440 nt
Filed under: uncultured bacterium
Lineage: Bacteria
Description: partial 16S ribosomal RNA
Rfam family: Bacterial small subunit ribosomal RNA
Source: RNAcentral
CCUACGGGGGGCAGCAGUGGGGAAUAUUGCACAAUGGGGGAAACCCUGAUGCAGCGACGCCUCGUGAGUGAAGAAGUAUUUCGGUACGUAAAGCUCUAUCAGCAGGGAAGAAAAUGACGGUACCUGACUAAGAAGCCCCGGCUAACUACGUGCCAGCAGCCGCGGUAAUACGUAGGGGGCAAGCGUUAUCCGGAUUUACUGGGUGUAAAGGGAGCGUAGACGGCAGCGCAAGUCUGGAGUGAAAUCCCAUGGCUUAACCAUGGAACUGCCUUGGAAACUGUGCAGCUAGAGUGCAGGAGAGGUAAGCGGAAUGCCUAGUGUAGCGGUGAAAUGCGUAGAUAUUAGGAGGAACACCAGUGGCGAAGGCGGCUUACUGGACUGUAACUGACGUUGAGGCUCGAAAGCGUGGGGAGCAAACAGGAUUAGAUACCCUGGUAGUC